Molecule: ribosomal RNA, 468 nt
Filed under: uncultured bacterium
Lineage: Bacteria
Description: partial 16S ribosomal RNA
Rfam family: Bacterial small subunit ribosomal RNA
Source: RNAcentral
GACGAACGCUGGCGGCGUGCUUAACACAUGCAAGUCGAACGGAAAGGCCCUGCUUUUGUGGGUGCCUGGGGGGCGAACCGGUGAGUAAAACCGGAGUUAACCGCCCUUGGCUUUGGGGUUACCUUAAGGAACUGGGGCCAAAAACGGAUAAGAGCCUCUGGCGCAAGGGGGGGGUUGGGAAAGUUUCGGCGGUUGGGGAUGGACUCGCGGCUUAUCAGCUUGUUGGUGGGGUAGUGGCUUACCAAGGCUUUGACGGGUAGCCGGCCUGAGAGGGUGACCGGCCACAUUGGGACUGAGAUACGGCCCAGACUCCUACGGGAGGCAGCAGUGGGGAAUAUUGCACAAUGGGCGGAAGCCUGAUGCAGCAACGCCGCGUGCGGGAUGACGGCCUUCGGGUUGUAAACCGCUUUCGCCUGUGACGAAGCGUGAGUGACGGUAAUGGGUAAAGAAGCACCGGCUAACUACGUG